CUGAUUGAACGUGCUUGCACGGACUUGACGUUGGUUUACCAGCGAGUGGCGGACGGGUGAGUAACACGUAGGUAACCUGCCCCAAAGCGGGGGAUAACAUUUGGAAACAGAUGCUAAUACCGCAUAACAAUUUGAAUCGCAUGAUUCAAAUUUAAAAGAUGGCUUCGGCUAUCACUUUGGGAUGGACCUGCGGCGCAUUAGCUUGUUGGUAGGGUAACGGCCUACCAAGGCUGUGAUGCGUAGCCGAGUUGAGAGACUGAUCGGCCACAAUGGAACUGAGACACGGUCCAUACUCCUACGGGAGGCAGCAGUAGGGAAUCUUCCACAAUGGGCGCAAGCCUGAUGGAGCAACACCGCGUGAGUGAAGAAGGGUUUCGGCUCGUAAAGCUCUGUUGUUAGAGAAGAACGUGCGUGAGAGCAACUGUUCACGCAGUGACGGUAUCUAACCAGAAAGUCACGGCUAACUACGUGCCAGCAGCCGCGGUAAUACGUAGGUGGCAAGCGUUAUCCGGAUUUAUUGGGCGUAAAGCGAGCGCAGGCGGUUUGAUAAGUCUGAUGUGAAAGCCUUUGGCUUAACCAAAGAAGUGCAUCGGAAACUGUCAGACUUGAGUGCAGAAGAGGACAGUGGAACUCUGGGUGAGAAGGGGGGAAGAAA
This 655-nucleotide ribosomal RNA is filed under the name Limosilactobacillus mucosae. Its description in RNAcentral is "bacterial SSU rRNA". It matches the Rfam family "Bacterial small subunit ribosomal RNA", at positions 47 to 696 of the family's 1533-position model. The record is from RNAcentral. Lineage: Bacteria; Bacillati; Bacillota; Bacilli; Lactobacillales; Lactobacillaceae.